This 30-nucleotide non-coding RNA is filed under the name Rattus norvegicus (Norway rat). The record is from RNAcentral. Lineage: Eukaryota; Metazoa; Chordata; Mammalia; Rodentia; Muridae.
UGGUGACAAUUGACAAUUGACUAUGUUGAC